GAUGAACGCUGGCGGCGUGCCUAACACAUGCAAGUCGAGCGAACAGAUAAGGAGCUUGCUCCUUUGACGUUAGCGGCGGACGGGUGAGUAACACGUGGGUAACCUACCUAUAAGACUGGGAUAACUUCGGGAAACCGGAUCUAACACCGGAUAAUAUUUCGAACCGCAUGGUUCGUUAGUGAAAGAUGGUUUUGCUAUCACUUAUAGAUGGACCCGCGCCGUAUUAGCUAGUUGGUAAGGUAACGGCUUACCAAGGCGACAAUACGUAGCCGACCUGAGAGGGGGAUCGGCCACACUGGAACUGAGACACGGUCCAGAGUCCUACGGGAGGCAGCAGUAGGGAAUCUUCCGCAAUGGGCGAAAGCCUGACGGAGCAACGCCGCGUGAGUGAUGAAGGUCUUCGGAUCGUAAAACUCUGUUAUUAGGGAAGAACAUACGUGUAAGUAACUGUGCACGUCUUGACGGUACCUAAUCAAAAAGCCACGGCUAACUACGUG
RNAcentral lists this ribosomal RNA (497 nucleotides) under uncultured bacterium. RNAcentral's name for it is "partial 16S ribosomal RNA". It matches the Rfam family "Bacterial small subunit ribosomal RNA", at positions 28 to 507 of the family's 1533-position model. The record is from RNAcentral.